Molecule: ribosomal RNA, 1372 nt
Filed under: uncultured bacterium
Lineage: Bacteria
Description: bacterial SSU rRNA
Rfam family: Bacterial small subunit ribosomal RNA
Source: RNAcentral
GAUGAACGCUGGCGGCGUGCCUAAUACAUGCAAGUCGAGCGAACGGACGAGAAGCUUGCUUCUCUGAUGUUAGCGGCGGACGGGUGAGUAACACGUGGAUAACCUACCUAUAAGACUGGGAUAACUUCGGGAAACCGGAGCUAAUACCGGAUAAUAUUUUGAACCGCAUGGUUCAAAAGUGAAAGACGGUCUUGCUGUCACUUAUAGAUGGAUCCGCGCUGCAUUAGCUAGUUGGUAAGGUAACGGCUUACCAAGGCAACGAUGCAUAGCCGACCUGAGAGGGUGAUCGGCCACACUGGAACUGAGACACGGUCCAGACUCCUACGGGAGGCAGCAGUAGGGAAUCUUCCGCAAUGGGCGAAAGCCUGACGGAGCAACGCCGCGUGAGUGAUGAAGGUCUUCGGAUCGUAAAACUCUGUUAUUAGGGAAGAACAUAUGUGUAAGUAACUGUGCACAUCUUGACGGUACCUAAUCAGAAAGCCACGGCUAACUACGUGCCAGCAGCCGCGGUAAUACGUAGGUGGCAAGCGUUAUCCGGAAUUAUUGGGCGUAAAGCGCGCGUAGGCGGUUUUUUAAGUCUGAUGUGAAAGCCCACGGCUCAACCGUGGAGGGUCAUUGGAAACUGGAAAACUUGAGUGCAGAAGAGGAAAGUGGAAUUCCAUGUGUAGCGGUGAAAUGCGCAGAGAUAUGGAGGAACACCAGUGGCGAAGGCGACUUUCUGGUCUGUAACUGACGCUGAUGUGCGAAAGCGUGGGGAUCAAACAGGAUUAGAUACCCUGGUAGUCCACGCCGUAAACGAUGAGUGCUAAGUGUUAGGGGGUUUCCGCCCCUUAGUGCUGCAGCUAACGCAUUAAGCACUCCGCCUGGGGAGUACGACCGCAAGGUUGAAACUCAAAGGAAUUGACGGGGACCCGCACAAGCGGUGGAGCAUGUGGUUUAAUUCGAAGCAACGCGAAGAACCUUACCAAAUCUUGACAUCCUUCGACAACUCUAGAGAUAGAGCUUUCCCCUUCGGGGGACAAAGUGACAGGUGGUGCAUGGUUGUCGUCAGCUCGUGUCGUGAGAUGUUGGGUUAAGUCCCGCAACGAGCGCAACCCUUAAGCUUAGUUGCCAUCAUUAAGUUGGGCACUCUAAGUUGACUGCCGGUGACAAACCGGAGGAAGGUGGGGAUGACGUCAAAUCAUCAUGCCCCUUAUGAUUUGGGCUACACACGUGCUACAAUGGACAAUACAAAGGGCAGCGAAACCGUGAGGUCAAGCAAAUCCCAUAAAGUUGUUCUCAGUUCGGAUUGUAGUCUGCAACUCGACUACAUGAAGCUGGAAUCGCUAGUAAUCGUAGAUCAGCAUGCUACGGUGAAUACGUUCCCGGGUCU